This 480-nucleotide ribosomal RNA is filed under the name uncultured bacterium. Its description in RNAcentral is "partial 16S ribosomal RNA". It matches the Rfam family "Bacterial small subunit ribosomal RNA", at positions 28 to 523 of the family's 1533-position model. The record is from RNAcentral.
GAUGAACGCUGGCGGCGUGCCUAACACAUGCAAGUCGAGCGAGUGAAUCUCCUUCGGGAGUGAAGCUAGCGGCGGACGGGUGAGUAACACGUGGGCAACCUGCCUCAUAGAGGGGAAUAGCCUUUCGAAAGGAAGAUUAAUACCGCAUAAGAUUGUAGCUUCGCAUGAAGUAGCAAUUAAAGGAGCAAUCCGCUAUGAGAUGGGCCCGCGGCGCAUUAGCUAGUUGGUGAGGUAACGGCUCACCAAGGCGACGAUGCGUAGCCGACCUGAGAGGGUGAUCGGCUACAUUGGGACUGAGACACGGCCCAGACUCCUACGGGAGGCAGCAGUGGGGAAUAUUGCACAAUGGGGGAAACCCUGAUGCAGCAACGCCGCGUGAGUGUUGACGGCCUUCGGGUUGUAAAGCUCUGUCUUCAGGGACGAUAAUGACGGUACCUGAGGAGGAAGCCACGGCUAACUACGUGCCAGCCGCCGCGGUAA